RNAcentral lists this long non-coding RNA (340 nucleotides) under Homo sapiens (human). RNAcentral's name for it is "HSALNT0198489". The record is from RNAcentral. Lineage: Eukaryota; Metazoa; Chordata; Mammalia; Primates; Hominidae.
AAGGGUGGCUGGGGGCGAGCUGAGGCCCAGCCUUCCUCCCUGAUGUCAGGCGUGUCUGGAAGCCGUUUCAGCAUUCAUCAGCCCUUCGACUUCUCCCUCGGUGGCCCUGCAGGAGCUACACACCAGCAUCAAAAAGACAAACAACCCAACCAGGAGCUGGGCACAGGAGUUUAAAAGACAUUUCUCUGAAGAAGACCUGCAAAUGGCCAGCAAGCACAUGAAAAGACUCAACGCCAUUAGUCAUUAGAGAAUCCACCAAAACCACAGCGAGAUGCCACUUCUCACUCCCCAGGAUGGUGAGGAGGAGUAGAAGGGGAAGGAGGGGAAGGAGGGAAUGAAG